UACAGAGGUCUCAAGCGUUGUUCGGAUUCAUUGGGCGUAAAGGGUGCGUAGGUGGCGCUGUAAGUCGGGGGUGAAAUUUCGGAGCUUAACUCCGAAACUGCAUUCGAUACUGCGGUGCUUGAGGACUGGAGAGGAGACUGGAAUUCAUGGUGUAGCAGUGAAAUGCGUAGAGAUCAUGAGGAAGACCAGUGGCGAAGGCGGGUCUCUGGACAGUUCCUGACACUGAGGCACGAAGGCCAGGGGAGCAAACGGG
This 253-nucleotide ribosomal RNA is filed under the name uncultured bacterium. Its description in RNAcentral is "partial 16S ribosomal RNA". It matches the Rfam family "Bacterial small subunit ribosomal RNA", at positions 524 to 776 of the family's 1533-position model. The record is from RNAcentral.